RNAcentral lists this long non-coding RNA (529 nucleotides) under Amborella trichopoda. RNAcentral's name for it is "long non-coding RNA (ATRI_LNC004067)". Lineage: Eukaryota; Viridiplantae; Streptophyta; Magnoliopsida; Amborellales; Amborellaceae. The record is from RNAcentral.
GAUGGGGAAUGUCGAUCAUGUCGGACGGUUGGAGUGCAUCAUUUCUCAUCCUUUUAGUCUUGGUACCAGUUGGAACCUCUCUUAAUUGUUACUUGUAAAGCACCUCUCUUAAUUGUUACUUGUCAUAUUUUUGCACCUUACUUAUAGAUCAUAGUGAUGCAGGUGCUCUGUCCAACUUGUCUGCUAUGGGGUGUAAACAAAACUAGAGUAUAUUUCAAUAGAUGCAUACCCUUAAGAGAAAUAGGCUGACUUUAGAUCGGCUACACAAGCUGGUUUACGUGCAUUACAAUUUGAAGUUGAGGUGAGAAUUACUCACUAUUGCAUAUUUAUAAAGGAUUUAGUCGAGGUACGGGUAGUGGAAGAGGAGGAGACAAUUCUUAUUAAGAAGACAUUUCUAGCUGCGAUUGGUAAGGAAAGAGAUGAAUAUGAAGGGUGGAGGAUGACAUGAGCUAUCAGGAGGAGGCCACAACAUGAGGAGCUAGAUGUAGAUGUGCAAGUUCCUGCAGAGGGAGUUGGGAGAGGAAAUCAG